RNAcentral lists this unclassified non-coding RNA (3518 nucleotides) under Leishmania donovani. RNAcentral describes it as "gene:LdHU3.11.1280(CDS-product:pretranslocation_p rotein_alpha_subunit_putative)". The record is from RNAcentral. Lineage: Eukaryota; Euglenozoa; Kinetoplastea; Trypanosomatida; Trypanosomatidae.
CUGAACGUCCCCACAACAAAACGCGCACAAUACAACCACAACCAUAACGUGGUUAGCUUAUCUUUCCGUACAUUGCCUUUCGUAUUCUGUUUAAUUUGUUUCGUUUUUUUUUUUCUGUUUUCCCGCUGAGCGUCCUCAUCCGCCAUCAUGACGAAGCAGGCGAAUUGGUUAAUGUCGCUGAAGCCGAUGCUGGCGGUGCUGCCGGAGAUCGAGAAGCCCCGCCGCAUGCCUGGCAUCAAGGAGCGCAUCAUGUGGACAGCUGUGGCGCUCUUUGUCUUCCUCAUUUGCUGCCAAGUUCCCGUGUACGGCGCCCGUCCUGGCAACGCCAGCGACCCGUUCUACUGGAUGCGUAUUGUGCUGGCGAGUAACAAGGGCACGCUGAUGGAGCUCGGCAUCUCGCCUAUCGUGUCCGCCUCUCUCAUCCUGGAACUUUUAGCUGGCGUGCGCAUCCUCACCUACGACCCGAACAACCGUGAGGAGCGGGCGGUAUUCGAGGGCUUCCAGAAGAUGAUGGGCCUGGUGAUCACGGCGGUGGAGGCGGUGGCGUACGUGUCCUCCGGCAUGUACGGUGAUCCGUCCCGUAUUGGUGUGGUCAUGUGCGGCUUGAUUGUUCUCCAGCUCAUGGUGGCAACCAUGAUUUGCAUUCUGCUAGACGAGCUCCUGCAGAAAGGAUGGGGCAUUGGCAGCGGCACCUCCCUCUUCAUCGCCACAAACGUGUGCGAUACCAUCAUUUGGAAAGCAUUCUCUCCAUCCACCAUCAACACUGGCCGCGGCGCCGAGUUUGAGGGUGCCAUCAUCGCCUUCUUCCACCUGCUCGUCUCGCGCACCGACAAGGUGCGUGCGCUGCGUGAGGCAUUUUACCGGCCGCAGCUGCCGAACCUGACGAACAUCUUCUCCACCGCCGUGGUCUUCGUCGUCGUCGUCUUCUUCCAGGGCUUCCGUGUGCCACUCAUGACAAAAAGUAAGUUCAACGGAAACGACCGCCAGCCUUACAUGAUCAAGCUCUUCUACACGAGCAACAUGCCGAUCAUUCUGCAGACAAGCGUUGUGUCGAACAUCAGCUUCUUUUCUCAGAUCCUGUCGCGCCGCUUCGGCAACCGAAACUUCCUGAUCAACCUGCUUGGCCGGUGGGAGGAGCGCGGAUACAAUGGCGGCGGCAACGGUCAGCUGUUUCCUGUCGGCGGCCUUGCAUACUACCUCGUGCCCCCGGCGACCUUCUACGACCUGCUAGCCGACCCCAUUCACGCCAUAUUCUACGUGGUCUUUGUGCUGACCUCGUGCGCCGUUUUCUCCCGGCUGUGGAUCACCAUCUCGCACACGGCGCCGCGGGAUGUGGCGAAGCAGCUGGCCUCACAGGGCCGCUGGCUCGUGCAGGCCCGCGAGAGCGAGGAUGAUAUGACCCGGCUCUUGGAGAAGUACAUCCCUGUCGCGGCCAGCUUCGGGGGCCUCUGCGUCGGCGCGCUGACGAUCUUCGCGGACUUUCUUGGCGCCAUUGGUAGCGGCACCGGUAUCCUGCUCUCCGUCACCAUGAUCAACCAGUACUACGAGAUUCUUCAGCAGGAGGGCCAGGACCUCGGCUACGGCUUCCUGAAGCAGAAAGUUGCGUAGCUGCGAGCACAGCCGAAUCGAUGGAUCGUAGUUGCCUCUGUGCGCGCGUGGUUGUGCCGGUCUAUGUCCGUGCCUGAGCGGGCGUAUGCUAGUAUUUUUAUUAGUGUCUUUUUCGCUUGCCCAGAGCGCGGCGGGCAGGAGGGCAAGGAAGCCGUGUGGGCCGCUUCACGCCAUCCUUUCUCUUGCUCUUCUCGUUUUGCGACGCACAUAAGCCCCGUUUUUUUUUUUGCAGACGGGAAGCCUGGGUGGAGAUGGAGUCGUGGCAGUGAAGUGCCAGUGGGGCCCAUCGUUGGUGCUCCGUGCGAGACGAGAAGAGUCCGAACACAACGAGGGGUACGAGGACGAAGCACACGCCGCUGCCUUUGCGCGCCACAGCUUCCGCAUGGCCACAGGGGGCGGCAGAGGCGGCGGCAUGCACAGAGGAGGCUUUCUAUUGCCCUUGUGUAUUUGUUCGCUGCCUAUGGCUUCGCCACAUGUGCCUGUUCGGCUCUCUGUGUGCGUCUGUGUGCCUGCUGCUGCGGUGUGGCGUUCGCGGUCCGAUGGGCCAGAGCGAGAGCAGGACGGUGACUCGGAGAGGCAGAGGGCGGUGCAGCGACCGAGCAGGUGAGGGCUCGGGGAGUUCGGGGGGGGGGGGGGAAGCGGGAGCGUGUAAGUAAACGAGAUGCCGUUCGACGGUGAAGACACCAUGCCCUUUCAUGGGCUCUAUGCGCUUCUCCCUCAAUACCCCGAGCGCGCGCACACAUUCCUGGGCUCUUUUUUUAUCGAAUGCGUGCCACCGGCGACUGCGCCCCUCUCUCAUGGCGGCGCUCUCCCCCAUCACUGAUGCAGCCCUCCCUCUUCCUGUUUCGUGUGCCCCUUCUCAGUGCUCGGAUCGUGCGCGUCGUGUGUCAUGCGCCUCACAGUGGCCACAUGCGCCAGCUCACAGUCGAUGAACACACUCGCAUCCCUUGCCCGCAGCGGAUUCGUGAUGCGCUUGACCCAUCGUGCCUUUGUGCGCCCGAUUAUGGUUCGCUGGCGCUGCAGCACGUAUCCAUUUCGUUCUCUCACUCUAUUUCGUCUGCCGCUCGCUUCGGUGGGCACUUCGCGCUCCUCGUCUACCACGACUAAGUAUGCUGUACUUUGGAGGGUGGGCAGCUGCACACGGGAAGAGGCGGGAGAUGGGUGGCGGGCGAACCGACUCACUGCUGCAUUGCCGCCGCUGAAAGGAUUCGCCCCGCACCGGCGUUUUCUGUCCGCGUGUGUUUUUCUCUGUGCUUGUUUUUGUGUGUGUGUAGCUGGGCGGGUGGUGCUGCGGCUCUCUUUUCGUUUGUAUACGGCCGCGAGCGAAAGAGAAGGAGGCAGAGGCGAAAAAAGGUGUUUUUUUUUUUAAACGGCCAUGGAGGGAGUGACGCCGCCCUCUUGCGUCUCUGCACCUUCCCCAUCCCCCUCCUCCUCCACAUCCUUUUUGACUCUCCGAGACGAGCAAGCAUCUCCGACGCGCUGCGGGACGGAGAUGAGAGAGGGGGGAGGGGGCAGAGCGUGCAGGUAAGAGAUGAGGUGGCGCAUGAUCGGUUCUCGGCGCUAAGCAUGCGCACACGUGCAAAACAAUCGAAAAGCAGAACCCGAGCAACGGGGUGCGCGUGCGUGUCCACGAAGCUUCCCCUUACUUCCCUCUUCUUUUGCCCAUCACUGAUGGAGGAAUCUAUGCGUCUCUCUUCUCGUCAGGUGUGCUCGAUUAGGGAGGCCGCCGCGCCUCACCGUUGCCAAAGGGGAAGAGGAGGAGACAUCUCUCGCAUGUGCGCCGCUUCGUUGCCCCUCCCCCUCCCCCCACCCCCCGCAGGGAACUGCGACUGCGAGGGCAUGGCUCGAGGUGUGUGCGAAGAGAGGUGAAGGGGACGACGAUGCUGCGAGCUGACACGCUUCCGACUUCU